Molecule: non-coding RNA, 18 nt
Filed under: Arabidopsis thaliana (thale cress)
Lineage: Eukaryota; Viridiplantae; Streptophyta; Magnoliopsida; Brassicales; Brassicaceae
Source: RNAcentral
UGAUUGAGCCGUGUCAAU